RNAcentral lists this transfer RNA (76 nucleotides) under Lentisphaeria bacterium. Its description in RNAcentral is "tRNA-Thr". It matches the Rfam family "tRNA". Rfam says of the family: Transfer RNA (tRNA) molecules are approximately 80 nucleotides in length. Their secondary structure includes four short double-helical elements and three loops (D, anti-codon, and T loops). Lineage: Bacteria; Pseudomonadati; Lentisphaerota; Lentisphaeria. The record is from RNAcentral.
GCCGACUUAGCUCAGUUGGUAGAGCAGUAGUUUUGUAAACUUCAGGUCGUCGGUUCAAGCCCGUCAGUCGGCUCCA